AAAAAAGAGGGAGGUGGAAAGCCGUUAAAUGGGAAAGAAGCAAAUGGAAAAUGUUGUGACUUUUAUACAUGCACAAAAUUUACUGAGCAACAAUUUCACUCUGUGAGAUCCUUGCAGGGUUGCUGAGCAGCUGCUGCCUUCAAGAAGCUAACAUUUUCAUUGAAAAAACACCUAAGAAUUCACAGGUCAUGAGUGGCAGACAUCAUGUGAGCAGACAACCAUGACAGAGAGUGGUCUGGAACCUGUACCUGUGGUUGACCAACUGUAUGGCCUUAGACAAAAUAAAGCCCUUCAUUACUCUAAA
This is a non-coding RNA of Heterocephalus glaber (naked mole-rat), 304 nucleotides long. Lineage: Eukaryota; Metazoa; Chordata; Mammalia; Rodentia; Bathyergidae. The record is from RefSeq and is a predicted model, not a curated record.